This 629-nucleotide long non-coding RNA is filed under the name Cairina moschata (Muscovy duck). RNAcentral's name for it is "domestica (muscovy Duck (domestic type)) lncRNA (ENSCMMG00000013223.1)". The record is from RNAcentral. Lineage: Eukaryota; Metazoa; Chordata; Aves; Anseriformes; Anatidae.
AUAUUCUUUCAACAGCUGCCUUAAUGUGCUGGGAAUGCGGUGACCGAUGCACUAUCAAUAACACAACUGACUGUCCUGCCUGAUUUAUUUUGCAGUUAUCCUGGAGAAAUCACUUUGUGGUUACGACUCAGCAAAUGUUGAGGAACGUACCUCUUGCCAAAAUUACUAAACCUGAAACUGGCUUGCUACUCAGCAGAAAGAAGAAAAAACAGGCAGCUGAAGUAUGCUGGAAACAGUAUCCAUUUGGGAUUGCAGGAAAAAUCAAGUGAAGGAUAAAAAGUAGUCUGCAAACAAAUCAGGCAUAUUAAGGGUCAUGCAAUGCAUCAAACUAGAAAAAGGGAUUCCCCCAAAGCAAGCAUGAUUUUAAGUGGAAAACUUCCUUCAGGAAAUGGGAGGGCACCUGAGCAUUUUGCAGACCUGAGAUUGCAUCCAAAUGCCUUUGCAAGGAUCCAGGCAAAAAGACUUUCCUUCUGUCCUUUCCAGUGAGACUUCAGCGGGUGUGAUCCUGAGUUCUCACAGUUGGAGUUGAGCUCUUCAUGCACCUAUUGCAUAUGGAUCAGUGAAUGAUGCUGCAGAUUUGCUUUCAGCUAUGGAAUUUACUAACUUGCAUAGUAAAAAGAGCACUGUAC